This is a long non-coding RNA of Rhagoletis pomonella (apple maggot), 407 nucleotides long. RefSeq lists it as uncharacterized. The transcript has 3 exons. The record is from RefSeq and is a predicted model, not a curated record. Lineage: Eukaryota; Metazoa; Arthropoda; Insecta; Diptera; Tephritidae.
CAGUGCGAAACUCAGCAUCCGCCGUUUGUUUGCGUGUGGUAGAAAAUUGAAUUUCAAUUUACAAGCAAAAACAAGAUGGAGAUGAACAUGUAAUAUGCGAGAACCACCCAAUCCCAAUUGCGUUGGUAUGUCAGCUUCAUAAAAGACCAUCCCCAACUGCUACAAGGAAAGAACUGCCCCACAGCGCCACAUCUCAUCGCAGAUAUGUGGCUGGAGAUCGCGACAAAUUUAAACGCUAUGGUGGGGCCCACUAGAAGCUCCGAUGCUUGGAGAGAGAGCCUGCGAAAUUGGCGCAAGCAGUUGAGGUCACGUGCGCGCAAAGUGAUUGCCGAGCGGAAUAAGACGGGUGGAGGGCAGAACCCAGUGUCGGAGCUAACAGAGUUCGAGCAGCAAGCCCUAGAAGCAUG